GUCGAGGCCAGCGAGGGGAGAAGCAGCGGCUGUGUCGUUGGACAAGGCCGGCGAGGGGAGGAGCGGUGGUGGCGGUGGACAUGGCCAUAUCCUGUAAGUUACAGCUCCCUUUUGAUAUUGACAACACAAGAGGAUAAUGGAAAGUACUUGCUCGGGAGUUUCUUCUUUCUGGAGAUCUGUAGUUGCUUCCUGCAGCCUGAAUCAAAAGUUGGAGUUCGCACUUGCCUCUCCUGGAAUGGUCUUCACAGCUCCUCCUAAGGAGCAGCAAAUAAUUGUUAUGCAGGGCUCAACCCUCAACCUUAGAGAGUGACAUGCAAAUACUUUGGAAACUGUAGCGAGUAGAAGUUGAGCAAACUGGCCGUAGCAGCAAAGGUAGUAGCAGCAAGUAGGUGGAAUAUGUGAC
This is a long non-coding RNA of Lolium rigidum, 403 nucleotides long. RefSeq lists it as uncharacterized. The transcript has 4 exons. Lineage: Eukaryota; Viridiplantae; Streptophyta; Magnoliopsida; Poales; Poaceae. The record is from RefSeq and is a predicted model, not a curated record.